UCUCUCUCCCUCUCUCUCACGCAACCACUUCACGCCCCUCUCUCUCUCUCUCUCUCACUUAACGGCAAUGAAUCGACCACCUCAUAAACCACCUUCAUCAAAGUCGAUACUUCCUCCUUCAAGCAAGUUGUCCAUAUGCUCAUUGAAGCCCCCUCCCUUAGCUUGUUCUCAACCUCAUCACGCCGCGCCUACCCUACUCGUUCGAUCACUCUAUUGUGGAUCUGGUCUAAUAAGGCGGGUACAGUAAAAGCCCAAGUUUGGAUACGAAAGAACCAUCAAAGAGAAGGGGUUUAACUUGCAUCUGUCACUGGCGACUACUCCUAGGACCGUCGAGCCUAGAUUACUAUCUCUGUUAUCGACCACAUCUCUUAGAGCUUCAGGUGAUGAAAAGAGAAGUAAAAUUUUUCGAAAGGAAUGAGAAGGAGCCAUAAGGCUAAAAGCAUCUUAGAGAGAUAUCGCAAGCCACAUAAUAUGUGAAAACAAGAUGGGGUGUGAAAACAUGGAUGUUUCAUUUAAACAAAAACACGGAUGUUUCAUUUAAACACCCAUCCGUGCAUGGAUGGGCAUGCAAUAGCCAUGACCACGAGCAGAUGAGUAGGGUUUCAAGUGUCCUUGUUUCUAUUUUGAAACAAAAAAGCAUGAGAGAGUUUGAAAAUCAUAGAGAGGUUCAAGUUUGCUCUACUAGGGCACAAAUUUCUGUGGCUUGGAGUGGUUCUUAAGUUGUGCAGCCAUUCCAGGUGAGUUUCUAGCUUCCUCUUCUACAUUUCUACAUACUUUUCUUUGAGUUUGAGGAUAAUUUCUGAGCUAGGAUUUCCUAUAAGAUGUUUGAUCCAAACCUAUGAUUAUUUUUUAUGGUUGUUGAGAUUGUCGAGAGUCUAAUAAAUGCUGCAUAAUAUUUAUUUAACGUUGGAAUUUGAAUUUGAGGAUUUUGAGUUAAACCCUAGAUUUAAAUGGCGAAGGUUGGAUGAAAUAGAUGUUUAGAUGUUUGUUUAAGCAUAGAUUAAUGCUUUUAUGGUAUUAGAAUUUUAAUUUGAUUCUUGAGGACAAUUUUUUAUUUUUGGGGUAUUUUGGAUGAAUUUUGAAGUUAUGUAAUGAUAAAAUAUUGAUGGUGGGAUUGAUUUAAGAUUUAAUUAAAGCUUAUAAGUGUAAGAGGAUGUUAAAAGAAUUUUGGGAAGGGUUAAAAUGGGCACUAACAUUGAUUUAGUAUUAAGUGUGGGUUAGGCCUAUACUUACUACCUCCAAAUUUAGAUUUAUUUAUUUGUUACAAUAUGAAAUUAAUAUGUAGUAUGAUGUAAUAAUUGUGUAGAUUGUGUUGAUCAAAAGAAUGGACUAAUGUGGAUUUGAAAGGAAAUUUAUUGUCCAAAACACAAGAUAAUCAUUAUUAAUAUGUGGUGGGAGUGGGUGUGUGUGAUUAUGUGUGGUUUAUUGUUUGAAAAAUCAUAAUUGUUUCGAAGUACAUGUAUGUAUUUGUUUAGAAUUAUUGCCAAGUGGGUUAAAUUGUAUAUGUCUAUUAUGUAAAGAUAUUAUUGUUUGGAAGCAUGAAAACUAUUCGGUUAUGUUUUUGUUUGGUUGUUUAAAAUAUACAUGAUUUGUUGAGAUAUUUUAAAAUAUUAUUGUUAGGAAAUUUUUUUUUUGAUACUUAUUACCACAAGGCACCCUCAUUGGACCCAAUGAGUGGCAUGUAGCUUGGUCCAAUUUAUAUUUGGCUAGGUGAUUUGGCUUCUGGGCAUGGCGUAAGGAGAGAUAUAAGGUAUAAUCAUGUGAUUAAAUAUUUGUUUAAUUUGUUUGAAAAUAUUUGUUCGGGUAAAUGUUUUGUGUGCUUGCAUAGUAAUCGCAUAAUUAGUUACAUCCACAUGCAUCGUUACAUAUUAAUUCUAGUUAUUAAGACUUUUAAGUUUCAUUUCCCUUGGCUAACAAUUUUUAUAGGAAUGAGUUUGGUCGAGGAAGCACCAGAGGAAUAAUUUUGGUGAGGCACCACCGUUUGCAUUACCUCUUUAUUUGGUUUAUGUAAUAUAUAUUGUGCCAACUUAGAAUAUAUAUUAUUUCAUAGAGCAUAUAGACUCUAAUUUUGAUUAACUGCAUAUAUGGACAAGAGGAGUAUAUCUGUCCCUCUUGGGUCUUUACUUGACUUGAAUAUUAUACCAUGAGGAUUUUGUUUUUCUCUCUUGGCCUUAGAUUUGACUAGUAUGAUUGAUCAUGAGAAUUCUUCUACCCCUCAUUGUCCUAACUACUUUUUGAAAUACUGGUCAUAUUAAAUUUGUUUGGAAUUAUUGAGCAAUUAGUAAGCUUGUAUAGAUGAUAUUAUUAGAUGUGAUCAUGUUGUGAACAAGUAUACUUCCUAUAACUAU
Molecule: long non-coding RNA, 2348 nt
Organism: Prosopis cineraria
Lineage: Eukaryota; Viridiplantae; Streptophyta; Magnoliopsida; Fabales; Fabaceae
Exons: 3
Source: RefSeq, a predicted model, not a curated record